RNAcentral lists this unclassified non-coding RNA (463 nucleotides) under Hevea brasiliensis (rubber tree). The record is from RNAcentral. Lineage: Eukaryota; Viridiplantae; Streptophyta; Magnoliopsida; Malpighiales; Euphorbiaceae.
GGUUCCAUGGUGCAUCCAAAUGUUCCUUGUAUGCUGUUUACCCCAAUCUGUCCACACUCUCUCUCAUUUAGGCCGGUCAUACUUCCGGAUUCUGCUAGGCUGGAAUUAAAGAUUCCAGAUGAUGCUCGAAGCAAUGUAUGGGUUUCUUUUGAUGGGAAGAGAAGGCAGCAACUUUCAAGAGGGGAUUCUGUCCAGAUAUCUAUGAGCCAGCACCCACUCCCAACAGUCAACAAAUCUGACCAAACAGGUGAUUGGUUUCACAGCUUGAUUCGCUGCCUGAACUGGAAUGAGAGGCUAGAUCAGAAGGCCCUGUGAAGCUUCUGAAACUGAAGAGGAGCCUAGUCCAUUUCCAUUUCUGGAUUGAGGUUUGUGUAAAUUAAUUAAUGUACAGAUUGAAAAUAAAAAUGACCACAGAAAAUUUUACUGAUGCUGAGUUAAUACUAUUCAUCACAACAUAGGCUUU